ACAGUGUGUAAACCGGAAACAACAAAACCUUGACCAAUGAUUUUCCAACUGUUCCCGUGUGCUUUUGGGUGUCCCAGUGUCCGUAAAACUGGGCAAUUGGCAAAAGUGCCGAAACGCGUGCAAAAUAAACCCCUGGCCAAUUACUUUAAAACUGUACAUGUGUGGUUCUUGGGUGCCCCAGUGUCCAUAAAACUAGGCAAUUUGCAAAAGUGCCGAAACGCGUGCAAAAGAAACAACUGGCCAAUUACUUUAAAACUGUGCAUGUGUGGUUUUGGGUGCCCCAGUGUCCGUGAAACUGUGCCCACGUGAAGGUGUUUGGGAAAAUGCACUCGUGUGCAUGCAGACCGGCCUAUGUUAAGGGAAACCUAAAUUUCAAAGACAAAUGAAACGCAC
This 393-nucleotide long non-coding RNA is filed under the name Drosophila guanche. Lineage: Eukaryota; Metazoa; Arthropoda; Insecta; Diptera; Drosophilidae. The record is from RNAcentral.